RNAcentral lists this ribosomal RNA (753 nucleotides) under uncultured bacterium. RNAcentral's name for it is "bacterial SSU rRNA". It matches the Rfam family "Bacterial small subunit ribosomal RNA", at positions 34 to 791 of the family's 1533-position model. The record is from RNAcentral.
CGCUGGCGGCGUGCUUACACAUGCAAGUCGAGCGGAGUACCCAACGGAAGUUUUCGGACGGAAGAUGGAAUUACUUAGCGGCGGACGGGUGAGUAACGCGUGGGCAACCUGCCUCCGGGUUCGGGAUAACACUUCGAAAGGGGUGCUAAUACCGGAUGAUGUUAUUAGUGUAGAGCUAAUAAUCAAAGCGUUACGGAGCGCUUUCAGAUGAGCCCGCGUCCCAUUAGCUAGUUGGUGAGGUAAAGGCUCACCAAGGCGACGAUGGGUAGCCGGUCUGAGAGGAUGGACGGCCACACUGGAACUGAGACACGGUCCAGACUCCUACGGGAGGCAGCAGUGGGGAAUCUUGGACAAUGGGGGAAACCCUGAUCCAGCCAUGCCGCGUGAGUGAAGAAGGCCUUAGGGUCGUAAAGCUCUUUCGCCGGGGAAGAUAAUGACGGUACCCGGUAAAGAAACCCCGGCUAACUCCGUGCCAGCAGCCGCGGUAAUACGGAGGGGGUUAGCGUUGUUCGGAAUUACUGCGUAAAGCGCGCGUAGGCGGAUCAGAAAGUUGGGGGUGAAAUCCCGGGGCUCAACCCCGGAACUGCCUUCAAAACUCCCAGUCUUGAGUUCGAGAGAGGUGAGUGGAAUUCCGAGUGUAGAGGUGAAUUCGUAGAUAUUCGGAGGAACACCAGUGGCGAAGGCGGCUCACUGGCUCGAUACUGACGCUGAGGUGCGAAAGCGUGGGGAGCAACAGGAUUUAGAUACCCUGGC